GGGGAAAUAGCUCAAUUGGUUAGAGUGCUGGUCUGUCACGCCAGAAGUCGCGGGUUCGAACCCCGUUUUCCCCG
This 74-nucleotide transfer RNA is filed under the name Triticum aestivum (bread wheat). RNAcentral's name for it is "tRNA tRNA-Asp". It matches the Rfam family "tRNA". From Rfam's summary of the family: Transfer RNA (tRNA) molecules are approximately 80 nucleotides in length. Their secondary structure includes four short double-helical elements and three loops (D, anti-codon, and T loops). Further hydrogen bonds mediate the characteristic L-shaped molecular structure. tRNAs have two regions of fundamental functional importance: the anti-codon, which is responsible for specific mRNA codon recognition, and the 3' end, to which the tRNAs corresponding amino acid is attached (by aminoacyl-tRNA synthetases). tRNAs cope with the degeneracy of the genetic code in two manners: having more than one tRNA (with a specific anti-codon) for a particular amino acid; and 'wobble' base-pairing, i.e. permitting non-standard base-pairing at the 3rd anti-codon position. Lineage: Eukaryota; Viridiplantae; Streptophyta; Magnoliopsida; Poales; Poaceae. RNAcentral also lists the same sequence under 1 other name. The record is from Rfam by way of RNAcentral.